Paramuricea clavata is the source of this 424-nucleotide non-coding RNA. Lineage: Eukaryota; Metazoa; Cnidaria; Anthozoa; Malacalcyonacea; Plexauridae. The record is from the annotation of a GenBank genome assembly.
GGCGCGGCAAAUCUAAAUAACGCUGGAACCGAUAAUGUUUCAGAAGAAAUUGCGGGUAGGAACGAAAUACCCGCACCAUACCAAGAUAGGUUCCCCCGGACACACAAAAAACCCUAAAUCUCACGUUCCAUGUCCCUUCUUACGCAGAAAGGGUCAUUGCCUGAAGGGUUUGAAAUGUGAUUUCUCCCACGCUAAACCACAACAGUCCUUUCAACCAUACCAACAACAAUUUUUUCCACCCCCGUUUUACGGACAAACUCCAUAUCAUUUUCAAAGUCACCUAAAUACUAUGAGACACCCUUUUUUUUAUCCCCAUGUAAACUACCCUUAUAUGCCUCCCCUGAUGGACAUCCCAACAAGACCACCCAGUCAUUAUUAAACGAAUCUGUUGACUUUCCAAAUAACUGUACACUGCCAUGUAAGC